This 1390-nucleotide ribosomal RNA is filed under the name human gut metagenome. Its description in RNAcentral is "bacterial LSU rRNA". It matches the Rfam family "Bacterial large subunit ribosomal RNA", at positions 740 to 2004 of the family's 2925-position model. The record is from RNAcentral.
GCAGGUUGAAGCGCGGGUAAGACCGCGUGGAGGACCGAACCCACCUGGGUUGAAAACCGGGGGGAUGACCUGGGGCUAGGGGUGAAAGGCCAAUCAAAUUCCGUGAUAGCUGGUUCUCUCCGAAAUGCAUUUAGGUGCAGCGUCGGUCGAUUGCGUCGCGGGGGUAGAGCUACCGGAUGCUUGCGGGCCCUUGUUGGGUACCAACAGCAGCCGAACUCCGAAUACCGUUGACGUGUAUUCCGGCAGUGAGUCGGCGGGGGAUAAGCUCCGUCGUCGAGAGGGAGACAGCCCAGACCGUCGUCUAAGGUCCCGAAGCGUGUGCUAAGUGGGAAAGGAUGUGGAGUCGCAUAGACAGCCAGGAGGUUGGCUCAGAAGCAGCCAUCCUUGAAAGAGUGCGUAACAGCUCACUGGUCUAGUGGUUCCGCGCCGACAAUGUAGCGGGGCUCAAGCACACCACCGAAGACGCGGCAGCAAUCUUCAUGGUUGCUGGGUAGGAGAGCGUCCUGCGAGGGGCGAAGCGGCCGGGUAACCGUGCCGUGGACUUCGUGGGAGUGAGAAUGCAGACAUGAGUAGCGAGAGACGGGUGAGGAUCCCGUCCGCUGGAUGACCAAGGGUUCCGGGGCCACGUUCGUCGUCCCCGGGUGAGUCGGGUCCUAAGGCGAGGCCGACAGGCGUAGUCGAAUGGAUGAACGGGUGGAUAUUCCCGUACCGACCAUGGACCGGCAAAACCGAGACGGUGAGUACUAACCUCCGCCUCGUGGUGGUUCCUUCCUUCGGGUUGGUUCCGCCGCGUGGUGUUGGGACUGUAGCCGCAGUAGGUCAGCGCAGGGGUGACACGGAAUGGGAGCCGGCCGCGGAGGUGGUUUUCCGUGGUCAAGCACGCAGCCAGUCAUGUAGGCAAAUCCGCAUGGCGCGCAUGGCGAGGUGUGAUGAUGGGAGCCGUUAUGGCUCGAUAUCCGGUUGUCCAGGCCGUCGAGAAAAGCCUCGGCGUGAGGGCCAUGGCCGCCCGUACCCCAAACCGACACUGGUGGUCAGGUAGAGAAUACCAAGGCGAUCGAGCGAAUCCUGGUCAAGGAACUCGGCAAAUCACUCCCGUGCCUUCGGUAUAAGGGAGACCCGCUGGGGUGAACCGGCUAGCCCGGGGAGCUUUGGUGGGUGGCACAGACCAGGGGGUAGCGACUGUUUACCAAAAACACAGGUGCAUGCGAAGGCGAAAGCCGCUGUAUAUGCACUGACGCCUGCCCGGUGCCGGAAGGUUAAGAGGAUCCGUCAAUCCCUUCGGGGACGAAGCGGUGAAUUCAAGCCCCGGUAAACGGCGGUGGUAACUAUAACCAUCCUAAGGUAGCGAAAUUCCUUGUCGGGUAAGUUCCGACCUGCACGAAUGGCGUAA